Long non-coding RNA from Anthonomus grandis grandis, 1706 nucleotides. RefSeq lists it as uncharacterized. The record is from RefSeq and is a predicted model, not a curated record. Lineage: Eukaryota; Metazoa; Arthropoda; Insecta; Coleoptera; Curculionidae. The transcript has 3 exons.
UUAUUUUUGUAGUUUUUAUUUAUUUGGAGGGAUCUGUAAACCCUGACACCCUACCAAAUUUAUUGAUUUUGUAACUAAUUUACUAGAAACUGCGAAUUUUUUGCCUGAUUAUUACAUAUACAAGUUGUUGUAACCCCUAGGUGUGAAAUAUACACCUGUGUGCGUUAGUUAUCGCUUGUGAUUAAUAAUAAAUAAUAAUAAUAAAUAAUCUCUUUAUUUUAGGAAAAUAUACAACAUAAUACUUGCCUAAGACUAGACACACAAUUACUUUUAAAAAGUUGUGCGGGUGUCUAUAAUUCAUCAAUUAAUAAAUAUACAUAUAAGCAGAAAAUGCUUUUUAUUUGUCGUUAGUCGGAACAAUAGAAAAUGAGAAAAGAACAAGCAAUUCUACGUACAUACCUAUUGUGAUAAAAUAUUAUAAAUAAUCUAUAUUACUGUCAGAAGUAUAUCUUUUUGAAGGUUUAGUAGCCAUGAAUUAACUUUCCGUUUAAUUUUAGAGAAUGGUUUAUUUCUUAGUUCCUGAGGCAAUUGAUUGUAUAUUUUGGGAGCUAAGAAGACUAUACUUUUCUGAACUGCGGUAUAAUGCACUGGAGUUGAUAAGAUCAUUGAUUUACUUUGUGCAAAUCUAGUUGCAAUUGAGUGGGUUGAUGUAUUAAUGUUAAUUUUCUGGUUACUAAGGAGUCUAACUAUUGAUUUUAAAUAUAAUUUAGUAAUGGUCAGUAAUUUAGAUUUCUGAAAUAGUAACUCGGUAUGAUGCAUUAUAUUUUUUAAAAGAGAUAUCUUUAUAAUUUUUUUUUGGGUAAUUUCAAGAGGAUUCAAGAAAGUUUUACUGGCGGCUCCCCAGAUACAAAUUCCAUAGUUAAUAAUUGAUUCUACUAAACCUUUGUAAAUAUUUAGUAUUGUUUUACGUGACAAACAUUGUCUUAAUAUAUAGAAUUUAUACAUAAGUUUUCUUAUUUUACCACAGAUAUAUUGCACAUGUAUCUUCCAUUUUAGAUGCCUAUCAAAGUAUACACCCAAAUAUUUAAUUUCGUCCACUGCACUAAUCCGCACACAAUUACAAGUUUUCAUAUUCCUACAAUCAUUGUCGUGAAUUUUAAUAGUCUCAAGGUCAUAAGGUAAUCCUGCUUUUGUCAUGGAGUGACACAUGAAAUGAGUCUUGUCAAUAUUAAGAGAUAAUAAACUAAAAUCCAGCCAUUUUUUAACCUCAACAAGAGCUUGCUCGGCCUUUUGAAACACUUCAUCCCACGUGCCACCCCCAACCAUGAGAGCUGUAUCAUCAGCGUAACAGACAACUUGCACACUUGUUAUUACCGAAAAUAUACUAUCCAUAUAGAGAGUGAACAAUAUUGGACCAAGGACCGUGCCCUGUGGCACACCACACCUCACUGGAAUUUUACUACUGUGAAUCUCGCCUAUCUUAACUUGCUGCUUCUAAGCGUUCCAUCAAGAUGUGGUGCGGCACAGUAUCAAAGGCCUUAGCCAGGUCCAGGAAGAUUGUCAUACAUUUUGUAUUGGUGUUAAAAGCAUUUAUUAUGUCGUCAGCUACCCUGACUAAAGCAUCCUCAGUUCCCAUUCCCGUCUUAAAACCAUAUUGAUUUGCAUUAAGGUAAACUCCAGACCCAAAGAUAGUAUUUACCAGAUGUAAAAGAGGCACUAUCAAGUAUCUGUUAUAAUUCUUAAUAAAAUUAUUAGAUAUGCCAUCA